UGAGAGUUUGAUCCUGGCUCAGGACGAACGCUGGCGGCGUGCUUAACACAUGCAAGUCGAACGGAAAGGCCUCUUCGGAGGUACUCGAGUGGCGAACGGGUGAGUAACACGUGGGCAAUCUGCCCUGCACUUCGGGAUAAGCCUGGGAAACUGGGUCUAAUACCGGAUAGGACCUUUAGACGCAUGUCUUUUGGUGGAAAGCUUUUGCGGUGUGGGAUGGGCCCGCGGCCUAUCAGCUUGUUGGUGGGGUGAUGGCCUACCAAGGCGACGACGGGUAGCCGGCCUGAGAGGGGUCC
RNAcentral lists this ribosomal RNA (296 nucleotides) under Mycobacterium avium complex sp. RNAcentral's name for it is "partial 16S ribosomal RNA". It matches the Rfam family "Bacterial small subunit ribosomal RNA", at positions 1 to 305 of the family's 1533-position model. The record is from RNAcentral. Lineage: Bacteria; Bacillati; Actinomycetota; Actinomycetes; Mycobacteriales; Mycobacteriaceae.